This 346-nucleotide unclassified non-coding RNA is filed under the name soil metagenome. Its description in RNAcentral is "partial contains 5.8S ribosomal RNA, internal transcribed spacer 2, and large subunit ribosomal RNA". The stretch from base 1 to 119 matches the Rfam family "5.8S ribosomal RNA", at positions 35 to 154 of the family's 154-position model. The record is from RNAcentral.
GAUGAAGAACGCAGCGAAAUGCGAUAAGUAAUGUGAAUUGCAGAAUUCAGUGAAUCAUCGAGUCUUUGAACGCACAUUGCGCCCCCUGGUAUUCCGGGGGCAUGCCUGUCCGAGCGUCAUUGCCGCCCUCAAGCACGGCUUGUGUGUUGGGCCCCCGCCCCCCGGCUUCGGGGGGCGGGCCCGAAAGGCAGCGGCGGCACCGCGUCCGGUCCUCGAGCGUAUGGGGCUUCGUCACCCGCUCUGUAGGCCCGGCCGGCGCCCGCCGGCGACCCCAAUCAAUCUUUCCAGGUUGACCUCGGAUCAGGUAGGGAUACCCGCUGAACUUAAGCAUAUCAAUAGCGGAGGA